CUACUUACCUGUCAGGGGAGACCCCAUGAUCAUGAAGGUGGUUUUCCCAGGAUGAGACUCAUCCUUUGCAGCCCAAGUGCGCUGCCCCUGCAAUUCCCCAAAUGCGGGAAACCUGACUGCAUAAUUUGUGAUAGUGGGGAAUCAAAUUAAGAAUUAAUUAAUUAAGAAGCAUUCUUGUCCUAC
This 183-nucleotide small nuclear RNA is filed under the name Salvator merianae (Argentine black and white tegu). RNAcentral describes it as "U1 spliceosomal RNA (ENSSMRG00000012363.1)". The stretch from base 1 to 163 matches the Rfam family "U1 spliceosomal RNA". Rfam says of the family: U1 is a small nuclear RNA (snRNA) component of the spliceosome (involved in pre-mRNA splicing). The record is from RNAcentral. Lineage: Eukaryota; Metazoa; Chordata; Lepidosauria; Squamata; Teiidae.